Molecule: non-coding RNA, 1590 nt
Organism: Arvicanthis niloticus (Nile rat)
Lineage: Eukaryota; Metazoa; Chordata; Mammalia; Rodentia; Muridae
Source: RefSeq, a predicted model, not a curated record
GAGAGAGAGAGAGAGAGAACCCAAGAGUGAACGUGAUCCUAGGUGAAAUGAUCAAAGGUGGAGGAAUCACAACAUCUGGUUUCAAAACAUAAAAAACAUGGGAUUUCCAACAGAAAAGAUACCUGUGUCAUCCUGUUGUUCAUUUUUAUUUUUGUAUAUUUAUUUUACCUUAUGGAUAUGAAGGUCUUCCUGUGAGUAUACAUGUACACCAUGCACAUGUCCACUGCCCACAGAGGUCCCUGGAACUGGAGCUACAGAUGGUUGUGAGCUGGGAACUGAACUCAGGUCCUCUGCAAAAGCAACAAGUGCUCUUAAGUGAAGCGCCAUCUCUGCAGUUCACAUGACAACCUUUCAUCCAGGCCUUUGCCAGCCUUAUGAAAAAUGCAGCUGAAACUACACGCCAAUGCCUUAAGCAGGCUCAAACCAAGGAGAGGAGUUGCAGAGAGCACAUCCUCCCAGCUCACCACAGUCGAUGUGGCCAAACGUUAUACUCCAGGCAAGAAGCAGCAAGCCAGCAAAUGCUCAACACUGUCUCUAACAACCUGCUUUCCAGGGAGGAGUUUAGCACCUGUACAUCUCUGCUCUCCAGAUAAUCCCUCCGCGGCCAGUUUUAAGAAGCCGAUAUGAUAUUAAAUGUCUUGCGCAAUUAUUCAAUGUUAGCAACUGGUCACAAGGCUCUCGUGAGCAGGCACUUCUGCCUCAAAGCCAACACAGCACUGUAGCUGUACCCACUCCUUCUCUUGUACCCCACCCUACUCUCCCCUUCCGAGUUCAGUGAAGUCUGGUUAUUCAAGAUGGAUGCCCAAGAAAUGUUGAAGCUAGUGUAGUAUCCGAACCUCUGUUUUCCUCUUCAAUUCUGACAUCUUUCAGCCAAAAGAACUGUAAUGCCUAACUUUGCUUCAACCCACGUUGCUAAGAAACCUUCUCAGAAGAAAUAACAGACUACAUAAUGGGUACCAGGCAAGACCCUGUCUCAAAAUCCAAAGACCCAAAAAGUGUCUCUAGCUAAACCUGAAUGGAAACAAAGACCUCCGGCCAAGAAGGGCUGAAGUUUGAAAGAUGAACCUGGAGUGCAGCAGGGAGCGUGUACGAAGUGAAAGAAGCCAUUUCUGAGCCUUAUAAAGAUGUUCAAAAGGUCUUUAAGCCCAUUCAACCAUCACCUCUGUGUUUUGUCUCCUUUUGCUGCUAUUUAAAUGUAAUUUUGAUGUCUGCCAAGUUAAAUUACCUAUUUGCCCUUAAGUGAAAAUGAUGUAAUUAUCCUUAAUAAGUAUAACUAUCAUCCUGCAUUUUGUUUGAUGGGUAGGAAGUUUUAUGCCUUUUAGAAGCACACCUUCAAGCAGACCACUGGGCUUUUCAGACAGCCAGAAACCAGCUCUACACGGAGUGACAGACAAGACCAGAACCUCUCCUGUUCCCCAUAACAAUUUGAAAUAGUUUGAAAAAAAAAAAGUACACAUUCACCAGAAGAUGCACUCUCAUAAAAACUGACAAAGCAAGGAAAUCCUACAUGGGUUUUGAGAAAGGAAGUCAAUGUCCUAGUACAGCCUACCUUUCAGCUUAAAAGCAAUAAAAACAUUGUUCUUGUUCUAA